CUCAGCAAAGCGUUGGACCCCCGCACAAAAGGGCUAUCCAACUAUGAAGAAGAACACCUGGCAAUUGUCCUGGCUGUUGAGUAGUGGCGGCCGUACCUGCAGUUUGGCGAGUUUGUGAUCAAAACUGACCAGUGCAGCUUAGUGCAUUUGGAAGAACAGCGGCUCCACACCCCUUGGCAACAGAAAGCGUUUACCAAACUCUUGGGACUGCGGUCUGCUACCGCAAAGGAUUUGAAAAUGGCGCCGCGGACGCUCUCUCUAGGUGCACGGUAUCUUCUUGUGGAUAGCUCUACACCAUAUCUGUGUGGCAACCCGCGUGGUUACAGGAGAUCGUCAGAGGUUAUGACCAAGACCCAAAGACACAACAACUGGUCACCCAACUUGCAGUCGCACCGGUGGCUGGGGGUAAGUUCACCUUGCACAAGGGCAUUGUCCAUUUCAAUGGUUGGGUCUGGCUGGGCAACAACACGCAUCUCCAACAACAAAUUAUGCAUGCCUUGCACGGUAGUGCUAUGGGUGGUCAUUCAGGCUUUCCGGCAACAUAUAGGAGAAUCAAGCAUCUGUUCGUGUGGCCUGGGAUGA
Molecule: ribosomal RNA, 582 nt
Filed under: Triticum aestivum (bread wheat)
Lineage: Eukaryota; Viridiplantae; Streptophyta; Magnoliopsida; Poales; Poaceae
Description: partial small subunit ribosomal RNA
Source: RNAcentral